CAAUAGCGUAUAUUAAAGUUGUUGCAGUUAAAAAGCUCGUAGUUGGAUUUCUGGGAGGGUGCCGCCGUCCGGCGUGUCCGUGUGCAGUGGCGCCCUUCCAUCCUUCUGUUAGCGUCUCUUGGCAUUCAUUUGCUGGUGGCGGGCUCAGAUAUUUUACCUUGAGAAAAUUAGAGUGUUUCAGGCAGGCUAGGCCGGAAUACAUUAGCAUGGAAUAAUGGAAUAGGACUACGGUCUCUUUGUUGGUUUGAGGGACUGCAGUAAUGAUUAAUAGGGAUAGUUGGGGGCAUUAGUAUUUAAUUGUCAGAGGUGGAAUUCUCAGAUUUGUUAAAGACUAACUUAUGCGAAANCANNNGCCAAGGAUGUUUNCAUNAA
RNAcentral lists this ribosomal RNA (372 nucleotides) under uncultured eukaryote. RNAcentral describes it as "partial 18S ribosomal RNA". It matches the Rfam family "Eukaryotic small subunit ribosomal RNA", at positions 592 to 976 of the family's 1831-position model. The record is from RNAcentral.